This 414-nucleotide long non-coding RNA is filed under the name Bos taurus (domestic cattle). RNAcentral's name for it is "long non-coding RNA NONBTAT015078". Lineage: Eukaryota; Metazoa; Chordata; Mammalia; Artiodactyla; Bovidae. The record is from RNAcentral.
CACAUUUAAUUCUUAAAGCACAGGUUUAAUUAGGACUGCUGAAAAACUUACUUGUACUGAUUCAAUAUUUCCUUAAAAGCCCAAGGUCUUAGAGAUCCGCUUCCAGGUUAUAUCUGAUUUUACUUUCCCUUGGACUCGAGUCAGUUUGAGCUCCUUCCAAAGAAACGCUGCCUUUUAUGUCGCAUUGUCUUCACUCGUAGCAUUCUACUUGUCCUUCCCCAAAUCGCAGCACACAUAAAUCCUACAAACCCAUCAAGGUCCAGUUUCAGUGUCACAUGCUCCAUCAUCUCCCUACAAUUCACACAUACCUCUCAUCAGAUGUAGUGACUGUCUGUAUAACUGCCUAACAAAGGGAAGAAAAUGACAUCCACUGGAAAUCUACAUGCCAAACAACAUUCACCAUUCAGUUGUUUC